This 443-nucleotide ribosomal RNA is filed under the name uncultured bacterium. Its description in RNAcentral is "partial 16S ribosomal RNA". It matches the Rfam family "Bacterial small subunit ribosomal RNA", at positions 338 to 795 of the family's 1533-position model. The record is from RNAcentral.
CCUACGGGAGGCAGCAGUGGGGAAUAUUGGGCAAUGGGCGCAAGCCUGACCCAGCAACGCAGUGUGAAGGAAGACGGCUCUAGGGUUGUAAACUUCUUUUCUGAGGGACGAAGAAAGUGACGGUACCUCAGGAAUAAGCCACGGCUAACUACGUGCCAGCAGCCGCGGUAAUACGUAGGUGGCAAGCGUUAUCCGGAUUUAUUGGGUGUAAAGGGCGUGUAGGCGGGAAAGCAAGUCAGAUGUGAAAACUCAGGGCUCAACCCUGAGACUGCAUUUGAAACUGUUUUUCUUGAGUGCUGGAGAGGCAAUCGGAAUUCGGGGUGUAGCGGUGAAAUGCGUAGAUAUACGGAGGAACACCAGUGGCGAAGGCGGAUUGCUAGACAGUAACUGACGCUGAGGCGCGAAAGCGUGGGGAGCAAACAGGAUUAGAUACCCCAGUAGUC